Anser brachyrhynchus (Pink-footed goose) is the source of this 129-nucleotide non-coding RNA. The record is from Ensembl. Lineage: Eukaryota; Metazoa; Chordata; Aves; Anseriformes; Anatidae.
UCUGGAGGACUAAUCAGACUGAGUCUGAAGAGUGAGACUCAGGUGACAGUAAUCUCCUAGAAGAAAAGGGAUGGAGAGAGCAGUCCUACUUAAAGAAAAGCAAAGGGCCUACUGUGCCAUCCAACAUGA